This is a long non-coding RNA of Papaver somniferum (opium poppy), 1220 nucleotides long. RefSeq lists it as uncharacterized. Lineage: Eukaryota; Viridiplantae; Streptophyta; Magnoliopsida; Ranunculales; Papaveraceae. The record is from RefSeq and is a predicted model, not a curated record. The transcript has 2 exons.
CUGUUUUUCUUCUUUCUUCUUCAUUUUUCUUUUCUUUCUCUCUUUCCUCUGUUCUUCAUGCUCGUCAAUUUGUGAGAAGACUGAGUGAUUUUGAGAAUGGAAAUUAGGGGAAAAUGUCAAGAGCUGAUCGUUUGUGAUGACGUUGCGGUUGAUUGAACACGAGAUGAUGAUAGAAUUGCUACUGUAAAUCGAAGUUAGGAUUUAUGGUUAGGAUUUGUAUAGAAUUGAGAGAUGAUUUGGGUUGUUGUUAGAUGAAGAACGAUUGGGUUGAGAUUGAAUUAAAUCUCUGAAGCUAUUUGGAGGUGAAAUUGAGAAUUAGAGUUCGUCUUGUUCUUCCCCAAAUUAGAAUUAGGGUUUGUAAGAAGUUCAAAGAGAAAUCAACAGAUGAAGUUGUCGAUUUAGGGGAUUAAAUUAAAUGAUGGGUUUUGAAGAACAUGAAGUGAAGUUAAAAGUUACGAGUUUAAUUUGAAGAUUUGAUUUCAAAGAAGAACAUAAAUUGAGAAUUGAGGAAUUAGGGUUUGAUUGUGCUUGUAAGGAAGUGACGAGAUUGUCAUGGGUGCUGAUUCGAUCUUCAUGGCUGAUUCGGAUGAAAGGAUUUGUUAUAGGGGGUGUGUUCGUUGUUGCAGAACUGGAAUUACGGUUGCAGAGUUGUGUUGUUGCUGAGUUUUAGAUGUAUGAAUCAAUUCUAAGAUGAAUGGGUAAUGGAAUUGAGUUGCAGGCCUGAAGUUGUUGAGCUGAAGUUCUAUUUAGUGUUGUUAAGGGUGUUGUAAGUAUGUUAAGCUGAAAUGAAUAUGGACUGUGUUAUGGAGUUGUGGUAGUUGUGGUGUCGCUGCACAGUUGGUGGUGUUGGAUUGAUCUUAUUUGAGACAGAUCAUAGGUUGGUUGCUAUUGUUGAGUUUUGUAUUGUUUGAAGUUCUUUUGAAUGGUUGGUGGUGGAAGUAUUGGUGAAGCUGUAGCGGCUAUGAUCAAUGGAAAUGCUAAGUAUAAUCUGGUGAGGGUGUCAAUUAGAACGAUGUGUAUGUAAUGUUUUGGAUGUGGUGUUUCUGAAGUUCAGUUUAUGAAGAAUGGUGAUCAAAGAGUAGUAGAUAGUAAUUGCUGUAAAAGCUUGGAACUGUUGAACUGCAGGUAGGCUUUAGUUGCGUUUGUAAUUAAAUUGUAAAUUAUAUUUGAAUGAACGAAGUGUUUAGUAAUUGUAUAAACUUCAAUUCUUUAGUAUUAAA